GAGAGAUGGUCGAGUGGUCGAAGGCGCCACAUUGGAAAUGUGGUUAGGGGCAACUCUACGUGGGUUCGAAUCCCACUCUCUCC
RNAcentral lists this transfer RNA (83 nucleotides) under uncultured Victivallis sp. It matches the Rfam family "tRNA". From Rfam's summary of the family: Transfer RNA (tRNA) molecules are approximately 80 nucleotides in length. Their secondary structure includes four short double-helical elements and three loops (D, anti-codon, and T loops). Lineage: Bacteria; Pseudomonadati; Lentisphaerota; Lentisphaeria; Victivallales; Victivallaceae. The record is from RNAcentral.